Struthio camelus australis is the source of this 570-nucleotide long non-coding RNA. RefSeq lists it as uncharacterized. The record is from RefSeq and is a predicted model, not a curated record. Lineage: Eukaryota; Metazoa; Chordata; Aves; Struthioniformes; Struthionidae.
UAAAUGACAUCUAAUCAUAGCUCAGAACUAAGGAUAAGGUCAGAAAUCUGAUGGUUGUCAUGAUAACGUCCUCAAUUUCCUCUCAGCGUUCCUUGGGAAAUUCUUAGGAUCAUUCCCUUCCUUGAAAAACACCACAUUCUGAUGGCUCCAAAAAAGCCCAGGUAGAGGUGAUUUAAGGUGGCCAGAGCUGGCUGUGAUAUGAACAACACUGGAUCAUUGCCUAGAGGAGCAGGCUGGAUAUGACGAUGGUCCUGGCCCCAGCCAGUGCACCCAUAUCAGCACCGUGGAAACCAAGUCUGGCUGCUGCUGACAUGUGAAUGGCAGCUACUACCUCUCCCAGAACAAGCCCUUUUCUUCUUAUAACCCACUCACUUAACCUGCAAAACCCUGUCCUCAAGAGCCCUCCCUAUGAUAUUCAUCCUGCCUUCUUGCUUUUCCAUUCUUUCCCAUCUUCACAUGAGAAGAGCAGCCUGGCCUCAGGCUGCUCCCAUCUUUUGCUCUCACUUUUGGUGCACUAAGAUUAAAUUUUGCCCACACUGUAGAGAAUUUCUGAGACAGCUUUGAAGGUGA